GAUGAACGCUGGCGGCGUGCUUAAUACAUGCAAGUCGAACGAGGAACUUUUGUCUUCGGAUGGAGGUUUCCUAGUGGCGAAACGGGUGAGUAACGCGUUGGUGACCUGCCCCGAAGAGAGGGAUAACAGGCCGAAAGGCCUGCUAAUACCGCAUGAGCUAGCCAUAGUUUAGGAACGUGGUUAGGAAAAGGAGUAAUCCGCUUUGGGAGGGCCUGCGUCCCAUCAGCUAGUUGGUAAGGUAACGGCUUACCAAGGCGAUGACGGGUAGGGGCCUGAGAGGGUGAUCCCCCACAAUGGAACUGAAACACGGUCCAUACACCUACGGGUGGCAG
Molecule: ribosomal RNA, 332 nt
Filed under: uncultured Chloroflexota bacterium
Lineage: Bacteria; Bacillati; Chloroflexota
Description: bacterial SSU rRNA
Rfam family: Bacterial small subunit ribosomal RNA
Source: RNAcentral